RNAcentral lists this ribosomal RNA (1290 nucleotides) under metagenome. RNAcentral's name for it is "SSU rRNA". It matches the Rfam family "Eukaryotic small subunit ribosomal RNA", at positions 115 to 1370 of the family's 1831-position model. The record is from RNAcentral.
AUUUAUUUGAUGAAUGUAUGAGAAUACUACUUGGAUAACCGUAGUAAUUCUAGAGCUAUUACAUGCAACGACGCCCGACCGUUUCACUACGGAAGGGCUGUAUUUAUUGGAUACCAAAACCAUCCUUCCCUCGGGAAGUUUUGUUUGAUGAUUCACAAUAACUGAUCGGAUCGCCACUGUGGUGGCGACAGGUCAUUCAACAUUCUGCCCUAUCAGCUUUCGAUGGUUGUGUAGUGGACAACCAUGGCCAUAACGGGUAACGGAGAAUCAGGGUUCGAUUCCGGAGAAGGAGCUUGAGAAUUGGCUACUACAUCUAAGGAAGGCAGCAGGCGCGCAAAUUACCCAAUCCCGAUUCGGGGAGGUAGUGACAAAAAAUAACAAUACCGGGCCUUUUUGGGCUUGGUAAUUGGAAUGAGGGAGAGCUAAACGGACCAUCGAGUAUCCAUUGGAGGGCAAGUCUGGUGCCAGCAGCUGCGGUAAUACCAGCUCCAAUAGCGUAUAUUAAAGUUGUUGCAGUUAAAAAGCUCGUAGUUGGACUUGUGUGCGCUGUCCGCGGGUGGCCUGCGCCCAAAAGGGCGUUUCGGUUCGGCCUCGGUGGCGCCUUGAAAUCUGCUGCUGGGGGGACGUUGGCCUUAACUGGUCGGCGACCGCACGCCGGCUGCUCGGUUACUGUGAGAAAAUUAGAGUGUUCAAGGCAGGCAUUGGGUGCAAUUGAAUACAUUAGCAUGGAAUAAUAAAAUAUGGCUCCUGCCGUAUUUUGUUGGUUUUGACUGGUGGGAGUAAUGAUUGAUAGGGACGGUUGGGGGUGCUAGUAUUGAGCGGCCAGAGGUGAAAUUCAUGGAUUCGCUCAAGACUAACUUAUGCGAAAGCAUUCACCAAGGACGUCCUCUUUAAUCAAGAACGAAAGUUGGGGGAUCGAAGACGAUCAGAUACCGUCGUAGUCUCAACCAUAAACUAUGUCGACUUGGGAUCGGCGGUAGUUUUUUCAUUAAGACACUGUCGGGACCACGGGAGAAAUCAAAGUGUCUGGACUCUGGGGGAAGUAUGGUCGCAAGGCUGGAACUUGAAGGAAUUGACGGAAGGGCACCACCAGGAGUGGAGCCUGCGGCUUAAUUUGACCCAACACGGGGAAACUUACCAGGUCCAGAGAUGUAGAGGAUUGACAGAUUGAAGCUCUUUCUUGAUCACUUCGGUGGUGGUGCAUGGCCGUUCUUAGUUGGUGGAGUGAUUUGUCUGGUUAAUUCCGUUAACGAACGAGACCUCAGCCUGCUAGUGUAGUCGGCUGGAUUG